AGCUAGGGUUAACCCAUUUUUUCAUAAACAUAGCAGUUUCAGAGAAACUGCUAUGUUUAUGAAUGGGUUAAGCCUUCCCCCUAUUUCCUCUAGUGGCUGUCUCAUUGACAGCCGCUAGAGGCGCUUGCGUGCUUCUCACUGUGAUUUUCACAGUGAGAGCACGCCAGCGUCCAUAGGAAAGCAUUAUGAAUGCUUUCCUAUGUGACCGGCUGAAUGCGCGCGCAGCUCUUGCCGCCCGUGCGCAUUCAGCCGACGGGGAGGAG
Non-coding RNA from Pelobates cultripes (western spadefoot toad), 263 nucleotides. Lineage: Eukaryota; Metazoa; Chordata; Amphibia; Anura; Pelobatidae. The record is from the annotation of a GenBank genome assembly.